UCCCCGGUCGUCCAAUGGCAGGGCCUCGGUCUUUGAAGCCGAUUAUAAAGGUUCGAAUCCUUUCUGGGGAA
Molecule: transfer RNA, 71 nt
Filed under: Eubacteriales Family XIII. Incertae Sedis bacterium
Lineage: Bacteria; Bacillati; Bacillota; Clostridia; Peptostreptococcales; Anaerovoracaceae
Description: tRNA-Gln
Rfam family: tRNA
About the family: Transfer RNA (tRNA) molecules are approximately 80 nucleotides in length. Their secondary structure includes four short double-helical elements and three loops (D, anti-codon, and T loops).
Source: RNAcentral